UGACCCAAGAAUAUUUCUUUUUAAAUUAGUUCUUGGUCUCUGGUGCCAAGUGGGGCUAAUAUCGGGAUGGGGCACUUGGAUGGGAAGAAAUAUUGGGGAAGGGUCUCUGGACCAGAGAAGGGAAAGGUCAAACAGGAAAGCCAAGUAAGUCCGUUGCAGAGAGGCUGCAAGAGGAGGAAAUCCCCCUUCUCUGGAUUUCCCACUGGCACAGGGGACUCAGGCGGGGCCAGCUGACAUCUUUGGACUGCUUCUUCUAGAGCAGAGGCUGCUCAGAGACCCCAGCACCCCAAGGCCAAGAACAGCUGCCAGUUAUUUGGAAUGAGAGUCUUGCUAUGUUGCUCAGACUGGUCUUGAACUGAACUCCUCGCCUCAAGCCAUCCUCCCACCUCAGCCUCCUGAGUCACUGGGAUUACAAGCAUGAGCCAUUGACCUCAGCUCUGUUUAACCUUUAAAAUGGAGGAAGGAAGAACUCCAGGUCUAGCUGGCUUGGCUCCAGAUUAUUUCCACGGACAGCAGAGCUAUGGAGAUUGGGAAGUCAAAAGUGCUGGCAUUUGAGUCUUGUGAAGGCUUUCUUGCUGUAUCCUCACAUGGUGGAAGAAGGACAAAAAGAGAUGAAUUGCUGUGUCCUCACACGGUGGAGCAGUAGAAGAGCAAAAAGGACCUAAGCUAGUUCUCUCUAGGCAUUUGAUGAGGCUAUAAUCCAUCCAUGAAAGCAGAUAUUUCAUUAUUUAAUCACGUCCCAAGAGGCUCCACCACUUAAAACCAUCACAAUGGGGAUUAAGUUUCAACACAUGAAUUUUGGGGGACUUUUAGACCAUAACAGAAUUUAAAUCAAAACUUGUCAAAAGAAACAAAGAAAGACAUCAUAUAAUGAUAAAAGGUUCAGUUCACCAGAAAAAUGUAACAAUGAUAAAUUUAUAUGCACCAACGUCAGAACACCUAAAUAUAUGCAGCAAACAUUGACAGAACUGAAGGGAGAAAUAGACAGCAACAUUAUAAUAAUAGAGGAUUUUAAUACCCUACUUCCAAUAAAGGUUAGAACAUCCAGACAAAAGAUCAAUUAGUUAACAAGGGGCUUGAUCAACACCAUAGACCAAAUGGACCUGAUAAACAUACACAGAACAUUCUACCUAAUAGCAGAAUUCACAUUUUUUCCAAGAGCACAUGGUACAUUUUUUUUUAGUAGAUCACAUGCUGGGUCACACAACAAGUCCUAUCACAUUUAAGAUUGAAAUCAUACCAAGUAUCUUUUCCAGUCACAAUGGAAUGAAACCAGAAAUCAAUAUCAGAAGGAAAAUUAGAAAAUUCACAAAUAUGUGGAAAUGCAACAACAUACUCUUGAACAAGUGUAUCAAAGAAUGAAUCAAAAGGGAAAUUAGAAAAUAUCUUGAAACAAAGAAAAUAGAAACACAACAUACCAAACUUUAUGGAAUGCAAAUAGAGGGAAGUUGAUAACAAUAAACAUAUUAAAAAUAUCUCAAAUAAAAAAUCUAACUCUACAUAUUGGAGAACUAUAAAAAGAAGAACAAGUUAAACCCAAAGUUAACAGAGAAAGGAAAUAAUGAUUAAAGUAUAAUGGUGGCAUAUGCCUGUAAUCCCAGCACUUUGGGAGCCCAAGG
Long non-coding RNA from Piliocolobus tephrosceles (Ugandan red Colobus), 1619 nucleotides. RefSeq lists it as uncharacterized. Lineage: Eukaryota; Metazoa; Chordata; Mammalia; Primates; Cercopithecidae. The record is from RefSeq and is a predicted model, not a curated record. The transcript is spliced from 3 exons.